This 586-nucleotide small RNA is filed under the name Pongo abelii (Sumatran orangutan). RNAcentral's name for it is "retained intron". Lineage: Eukaryota; Metazoa; Chordata; Mammalia; Primates; Hominidae. The record is from RNAcentral.
AUACAUUUCUUUCUGUUUUACAAAGUCAAAAACAUCCUUUGCUGGUUUUGCACCAGAGAACAGGGGUUAUCAUCUGUGUUUACCAUGUGGCCUCACAUGAGUUAACACUUUAAAGCACUAGAGAUUGUUAUAGAGAGUUUUAAGCUACCAGAAUAAAACAGAUUGAUUUUUUCUCAGAGCUUGAGUACAGCUGAAUAUUGCCUCUAUCUUAAAGGAAGUAGACAAUCCAGAAGAAAAACCAGAAGAGAAAGAAGAGGUUAUAGAUGACCAGGAGAACCUAGCUCAUAGCAGGAGGACCAGGGAAGAUAGAAAGGUAGAAGCCAUCAUGCAUGCUUUUGAAAACUUAGAGAAAAGAAAGAAGCGGCGGGAUCAGCCCUUGGAACAGAGCAAUUCUGAUGUAGAGAUUACUACAACCACCUCAGAGACUCCUGUUGGUGAAGAGACAAAAACUGAAGCCCCUGAAUCUGAAGUUAGCAACUCUGCUUCAAAUGUUACCAUCCCAAGCACCCCACAGAGUGUUGGUGUGAACACCCGGAGAUCUUCCCAAGCAGGGGAUAUUGCUGCAGAAAAACCAGUCCCCAAGCCA